AAGAUAAUAUUUUGUUUAGUACUUCUACCGUUGUAGAUAAUGUUGUACGAGUUAUAUCAGGUCAAACUCUAGUUUCUCUAGUAAAGAAUCGUGUAUCAACCUCCUGCCAAUUUCAAAGCACCAUGCUAAUACAGCUAGCUAAACAAUGGGUGACAGUGGUGGGGUAGGUUGUAACAUGUGUUUUAAAAGUGUUACAAUCAUCCCCUUAUAUACAACUAAGAACAUUUUUGUGAUCAUUUUACAGAAUGCCUAGAACUUGAGAAAAACAGAUCGUGGAGUCGAUGCCAGUCUUUUAAAAAGAGCAGCAGAGGAAGGUAGGAAAGUAAAGUCUGUUAGGGCAGAGGCAAAAUCCCAUGGAAUCUGCCAUGUAACCUUGAACAGAUAUUGGCAGAAAUAUAAAGAACUGAAAGAUCAGGGAUCGAGGGACCUUCCUUGUGUAGGAUACUACAGUCCUCACCAGGUCUUCACCAGGGAGAAGGAGGAGACUUUGUCACAGUAUAUAAGCCAGGCAGCCGAUAUAUACUAUGGGCUAACUCCACAUGAGGUCAGAAAGUUUGCCUAUCAACUCGUGGUGGAAUUCAACAUACAGUGCAGCAUCCACAAACCUGGGAUGAGAAGAAAAUGGCGGGGCCUGAUUGUUUUGGCAUGUUUAUGUAUCGGAACCCCAGACUUUCAGUGACUAGCCUUUCAAGAGCUACCAGUUUUAAUCAUGCUAAUGUGGAACUCUUCUUCAGUCGACUGGGGGAGGUGAUUGAUAAAAAUGGGUUUGAUGGCAGUGACAUAUGGAAUGUCGACGAAACCCUUAGUUUUUGUGCAUUUUGUCUACCUGUUACAACUUACCCCAGUAUGUGUUACAACCUACCCCAGUAGUGGGAUAGGUUGAAACAAAGGACCACCUUGUAUUUGUCAUCAUCUCACAAAGUCUGUAACAUAGUUGAAUAAAUUUAAAUUGUUGCCAUUUGUAGUAGACAAAUGUGGGUACUUUGCCUAAAUGUUUCAGACGUGUAGCCUAAAAAAAAGGUAGUUUUAGGUGCUGAAGAAAAAAGUGUUACAACCAUACCCGGUCUCCCCUAAUAUUAACGGGUUCUGGCACCAUAAUACAUCUAAAAAAUUCAUUAAAACAGCUCGACACCGAUUUAAUUUUGCACGAAGUUCUGGAAAAACUGUGUCCAGCAUCAACAUGAGGUUUGCAACGAUGCGCCCGAAGGGACGGGUUGAAGACCCAGUCCGUGACGUCACGAUAUGCUAAUUUAUUUAAAGUCAUACCUACGUAAUCACCAUCACCAAAAUUGUACUGUUUUUUUACAUUGAAACUUGAAAAAAAUAUAUAGACCUACCUACCGACUCUUUUUUUUUUUUUUACUGUUACUGCAAACCAAAAUAUUUUUAAGGAUGGCCUGGAUAUUCUUUUUUUUUUUUUUUUUUUGUAACCAGACAUACAGGAAGUGAUUACUUCUGUGCAAGACGUUAGGCCUGUUUAGGUUCUUGAAAUCACUUUAAUAAUGUUAUUAAACAGUUAAGGACAUUUUAAACAAAGUAGGAAAAACUUAGCUUGAGCAAUUUUAGUUGAUUUUAUUAAAACUAUUUUCGUUUUAUUUUCGUUUUCAUUCUCUGUAGAGAUUCUAAUCCCUGAUUCUAACCAAACAAUAAUUAACUUUAUUAAGGCAGGGGAACAGGUUCCUAAUCACUAAAUUAUGUCAAUGUGAUUGAAUUGUUGAAACCAGAUUAUUAACUCAAAGCUAUUGUGACCUUACAGCAGGAUUUAUUUAAAGAACCCUCUGUAAUAUUUAUCCCGUUACACUAUGAUUUAUUAAUCCCAGGAAACGAGGUGAUGUGUUUUGGGGCCACAGGGGUUUAUUUCCCAGAAGUCUUUAAUAAGUAAACAGCACAACAGUGUCAUAAACAUAUACAGUACACAUUGUUAACAAGAUUAUUAUAAAUCACACACUCUGAGUUGCCAUUUCUGCACAUUUAGGUUCCUCUAGAAAGAAGGUGUUUUUAAAAGUGCAUUGAGCUGUUGUGAAUUCCUACGUAGUACGCUGUCGCUCACUCAGACUUCGAGCUGAGGGAUCAGGCCUACAUAAACACUUUGCAUCUCCUCCUUGCUGUUCAGCUCAUACAUCUCCAGGAUUUCACUGAGCUGCUCAUCAGGGAGGAGAAAACAGCAUUCCUGCUGUAUUCCUGUGGAUCAGACAUGUGCCCGGUGUCUGAAAGCAGCACAUAGUGAACCUGCUCCCAAGGUCUGCUUUAGAAAACCUCCAAUCCUCCACCUCCAAUCCCGCGCCAAGGUCAGAGGGUCGGGCUGGUGACAAAGAUCUGUCCAUUGUUGUGCAUUGAGUCCAAGAAGUUGGCGCCAUGCUACAUUGGCCCGUUCAAGAUCCUGCGGCUGAAUAAUCCCAUGGUUUACCACCUGCAACUCCCCCAGACCAUGAGGAUCAACCCUACAUUCCAUGUUGCUAGACUGAAACCUGUCCUCUGUAGCUCUCUAGCGCCCCCUGUUGACCAAGCCCCACCCCCAUCUCGUCGAUGGAGCCCCGGCCUUUACGUGCCAGAGUACAGCGGUAAUACUUAUCAGAGCGUGUAGCACUCUGAGAGGUAACAUAUAUACCACAGGAGUUAGGAAAAGAGUUUCCGAUUGAGUUCCAGCGUGGUUAUAUGUAUCAGAGCGCAUAGCAUCUGAUUUUCUGAUUUUUUGAUAUUCUGAUUGUCUGAUUUUCUAUCUACUACUCGAGUUCUAACAUUAAAGCUUAGACAAUUCCUAAAUACACAAGGUCAAGUACUGUACAUUAUUUUAUUUAAUUAUAUAUAUAUACAGUAUAUCAGAGGGUGAGGUGGGUGUGGGAGGGUUCACAGAGAUACACGUGAUUCGAAAGAUGAAAGAUAAAGGUGUUUUCUUCACAGAAUUGGAGACUGCUCUGAAUUUUUUUUACUUUUAUUUGUUGGUGUUAGUUUAUAUCUGUGACGGUAAUGUAAAUAUUUUUUUUUUGCUAAAAUGGAGUCAAAAUGCAGCAUUUUUUGUUUGCUUUUGGAAAACUUCAGAUCAACCUAAUGUGUUUUUUUGGACAAAUGAUUCUAAAAUGUAAUUAUUUGGAGACCGUAACACACGGCAUAUGUGGUGUUAACCAAAUACAGCUUUUUAGAUCUAAAUCAAAUCUAAAUCCUAUUGAGAUUCUGUGGAGUGCUUUGUAACAGACUGUGCAUGCACGAAACCCCUCAAACAUUACACAAAGAAAGAAUACUAAAAGGUCAUUUUGCAGCAUAAAAAUGACCAUGGGCUUUAUUACGUUUUCUUUUAAAAGAGAUUGCUGUAAAAACUCUUCA
Tachysurus fulvidraco (yellow catfish) is the source of this 3321-nucleotide long non-coding RNA. RefSeq lists it as uncharacterized. NCBI's taxonomy places the organism in Eukaryota, Metazoa, Chordata, Actinopteri, Siluriformes, Bagridae. The transcript is spliced from 3 exons. The record is from RefSeq and is a predicted model, not a curated record.